RNAcentral lists this ribosomal RNA (440 nucleotides) under uncultured bacterium. Its description in RNAcentral is "partial 16S ribosomal RNA". It matches the Rfam family "Bacterial small subunit ribosomal RNA", at positions 338 to 795 of the family's 1533-position model. The record is from RNAcentral.
CCUACGGGUGGCAGCAGUGGGGAAUAUUGCACAAUGGAGGAAACCCUGAUGCAGCGACGCCGCGUGAGUGAAGAAGUAUUUCGUUAUGUAAAGCUCUAUCAGCAGGGAAGAAAGUGACGGUACCUGAUAAAGAAGCCCCGGCUAACUACGUGCCAGCAGCCGCGGUAAUACGUAGGGAGCAAGCGUUAUCCGGAUUUACUGGGUGUAAAGGGAGCGUAGGCGGCAGAACAAGUCUGGAGUGAAAUGCCAAGGCUUAACGACGGGACUGAUUUAGAAACUGUGCAGCUAGAGUGCAGGAGAGGUAAGUGGAAUUCCUAGUGUAGCGGUGAAAUGCGUAGAUAGUAGGAGGAACACCAGUGGCGAAGGCGGCUUACUGGACUGUAACUGACGUUGAGGCUCGAAAGCGUGGGGAGCAAACAGGAUUAGAUACCCGAGUAGUC